Molecule: small RNA, 145 nt
Filed under: Arabidopsis thaliana (thale cress)
Lineage: Eukaryota; Viridiplantae; Streptophyta; Magnoliopsida; Brassicales; Brassicaceae
Description: ATSL292590
Source: RNAcentral
UUUCGGGGGGAAAUUGAAAAGGAUCUAGAGAGUAAUCAUAGGAAUCGAGUAGAGAGCGGUGUCUUCACGAGAAAGAAGAUAGAUCGAUCUUGAAAUCUAGGGUUUGGACACAAGAGCUCUCUUUCUCUCGUAUCCGUGUUUAUGU